CUCAAAACAAAAGCAUUUACAAUAUACCAAAUACCAAAAUCUAGAUACAAAAGCUAGUUUUAAGAGGUGAAGAUACAAUUAAACAAUUUCAAAUAUUUACAAUAUCUCUAUAUCCAAUUUCUUGUUUGGAUUCAUAUCACCGUAGCAAGCAACUUCUUCAUUCUAUGGCACUUCCACCAUAUCUGGCACUUCCACACCAUCUCUAUAGGAACCUAGCAUCCACUCAUUUCUUUCAUUUGCAUAUUGGAUUCCCAAAGUGAUAUUUUGUGCUUCAAAGGAAAGCAUUAUCCCACACGUGAGACAGAGAGAGUUCCUGCAGUACAAAUAAGCAGUUGAGUACUAAACCUAGGAAUACUCAGAAGGUCGAAAACAGAAUUAUAAAUAGAAGUGUAAAAGAAGCAGCCUCAUAAUAAACCAAGAAAACUGUAAUAAGCACAAUACUCAGAAGGUCGAAAACAGAAUUAUAAAUAGAAGUGUAAAAGAAGCAGCCUCAUAAUAAACCAAGAAAACUGUAAUAAGCACAAGGAGCAGGAGCUGCAUCCUUUCAACAGCCCACUUUGCAGCAAUUGUAAGACAAAGUGAGCAGAAUCCCACUUUGCAGCAAUUGUAAGACAAAGUGAGCAGAAUCCUUUGCCUCACGAAGUUCAUAUAUGUUAUGCACUUCUACAAACAACAUUGGGACCUACAUACAGAACCAACCACAUAGAUAAGCUUAUGUUCAAUUAAAUAUUUAAAUACAAGAACUCAUAAAUUAUACAGUAUAAGAUGUAUUCCUACAAAAACGGCCAAAAAUAUAUUCUUAUCCCUCCCAUCUAUCUGGUUUUGCAAUAUCUGCUAAAAUCAAAAUAAAAGAAAACUAGUGUACUAGACUUAUUCAAAUUGGAUUUUAACUACAUGAAGCUAUAUUAGAUUUCGAAAUAUACCUUCCAUCUAUAUUCUAUCAGAUAUCAAUAUAUACUACAGGCAGACCUGAUUGGACUUAGUACUGAAUUCGUGCAUUCUGGAAGAGCAAACAUGCAGUUUUUCAUGUACUUGCAGGAAGACCUAAGAUUUUUGCUUGGUGUUAAAUGAUCAUCAAAUCAGAAUUACUUGACUGAUAGAGAAAAAAUAUCAAGUGAAGAAUUCAUAUAUUUAUAAAAAUAUAAAAUAGCAGAGCAGAUAGUAAGGGUUGAGGGGUUAUACGAAAUCAUAGAAGAGGGCCUGUUUAUGUAACUUCUGAUGAUCUGAUCUCUUGUUGAAGACCAGUGGUUAAUGUUGGUACUCGAGUUAACGAAAACUGAGAUUUUUUUCCAGAAUCUGCAUUCUUAUCUCCUCCAUCUAUUUCAUAUACUAAAGAACUGACAUUAGCGGUCAAAACACAAUCCAUGGACUAUGCAACAACUGACUAUCACAAAGAUAUCAUUAGAGAAAGAUGUUUUGCCUACUUUUUGACUACAACAUACAUAUGUUUUGUACCGUUCCCAUCUAUUUCCUGUAUGGUGCAUCUCUACAGGAGUAGUGUUCUGUACGGAUCUUGUGAUGCAUGAGGCUUCUGCUGAUUGAGUUCAUUUUCAAACAAACACUCUUCAAACCAAGUACUGCUGAGAACAAUUACUACCAUACCAGCUGCUUCCUCCCUGUCCAUUACAACCACACCCAUUACCACAUCUAUUAGUCUAAUCCAAUCCAUAAUUACCAGCUGUCUCCUCUUACUUUCAUUAAU
RNAcentral lists this long non-coding RNA (1702 nucleotides) under Daucus carota (carrot). Its description in RNAcentral is "long non-coding RNA (DCAR_LNC002774)". Lineage: Eukaryota; Viridiplantae; Streptophyta; Magnoliopsida; Apiales; Apiaceae. The record is from RNAcentral.